Non-coding RNA from Sturnus vulgaris (Common starling), 1277 nucleotides. Lineage: Eukaryota; Metazoa; Chordata; Aves; Passeriformes; Sturnidae. The record is from RefSeq and is a predicted model, not a curated record.
UUAAUUUGUCAAUUCAUUCACUUAAUUCGUCAGUUCACAAAGUUCAUUGUUGUAGGGAGUGAAACUCAGAAUGUGCAAUGUUUUGAGUAGAUGGUCUAUUUAAAAGAAGCUUCUUCCUUUCCUUCUGAGGACCUGGUCAUGCCCUAUGAUUCUGCAUUAAACAAGAGGAAUUGUAUUUUCAGUGUCCCUCAAAUUAAAAUUCACAUAUUCAGGGAGUAUUGUUUGAGUGUUUGAGGUGAGAGCAGGCAGUAGGAGUUCUAAUACAAGUCUUGCUGCUUCUUUGGUUAUAAAAACAGAUUUCCACAGCUCAGCUUAUGCAAAGGACCUUACCUAUAUUAUUUUCCUUUGGGUGCUUGUAAUUUACCAGUCAGCUGUUAGACAACAGAACAGUGAGGAUCAUUCAUUUCUUCAAAAGCAGCUUAGUUGAACUAGCACUACAUGUCUUGCAUCAUGUUUUUAAAUUCGGAAGUGUUUCAGGAUAUAAAAGGUCCUUUUCCUUUGAGUUCUUGUCCACAAGAUUCCCAUCACAUUUAAUGAGAUCAUACAUGUCUACCUCUUACUUGCAAAAUGGAAAUUUCUGAACAUUAUGGAAAUUUGGUUUUGAUUGCUGAGACCAAAACCGAAAUGCUAAAACUGAGAAUUAGGUAAUCUAUAAAGAAUGAGCACUUGAACUGUGCAGGGAAGGCUCUAAAGUGUUUAAAAUUUCAGCUUUACUGAACUUUCUCAUGGGGGAUGUUUUGUAAUAGUAUUAAUUUGCAUUUUGUCACUUUUAAGUUCAGCUUGUAUGGUGGUAAAAAUGAGCUUUCAGUUGUUUAUGGCACAUUCUGUUGCUUUCCAGACAAAACAAUGGUGGCAAUCAUUCCUAUUAACAGCAGGAGUCUGAAAAUUGUGCAGUGUAGGUAACACUUGUGGAAUGUGUGUAUGCUGGAUACUAUUGAAAUUUGCUUCUAUGCAAGUGUUGGAAAGAGGAGUUUGGGGAGGGGAAGUAUACAUUGCAUAUGUGCCCUCAUAUUCCUGAAUGGUUAAGAAUGGGAGAGGAAGAAAUAUCUUUAUGCUUAAACAGCAAAAUGCAAAGGGAAGUAAUGUUCUGUUUAUGCAAACCAACAGUGGAUUACUUGGCUUAAACUUGCUUAAAAUAGGACUCUGAGACUGUUCCUUUCUGCAUAAACCAUUAUAUGCUGGCCUUUGCUUAUAGUCAAAUUAGUAACUUUCCAUUUUGAGGUUGAGCUGUCUUCUGUGCUCUCCUGGAACUGCUAAUUCAAAUUGUAGUGUAGAUA